CUUCCGCUCUCUCUCUCUCUCUCCCCCCCACCAUCCCUGUUAGUGUGUUGGACCUGUGUAGUCGUCCAAGCUGAGAUGCUACAUCCCUUGUUGAACAAAUGUGGCAGUGGCAGCCAUAGGAUAGAGCUACCAACUUCCUGCCUUGCCCUUGAAACCAAAGGGUUGUGUUGCAGGCAGAGCCUCUGAUCUGCUCACUGUGGAGUUGACAGUUGUGCCGCAGGGUGACUAAGGAGCAUGUGGAGCAUGUGACCUGCAGGGGGCAGCAAACACCUGCAAGGAACUAAGACUGACAUCAGGCUGGUCGGGAUGAGUGGAUAAGAUCCUGUUUCAGUCCACCUGCUGGGCUGCUGAUAUUCAUCAGUACACCUCUAAGUGUCAGCCAUGUCAGCUUCAAUCAAGUUGGAGCUGUAUAUAGAAGUCGUGGUAUAAAUUUUGCUGGAAAAUGUCCUGAAGACAUCACCUACAUUUAACAUUUACAGGAAAUAAUCAUAAGGCUGACAUGAUUUAUACUGGAAUAAUCUGUGGUCUUUAUUUGAAUUAAGUUUGCUCUAAAUCCUGUACAAAUGUUAAAAUAAAACUUGAUGUUGCAGCACCUCA
Long non-coding RNA from Xiphias gladius (swordfish), 597 nucleotides. RefSeq lists it as uncharacterized. Lineage: Eukaryota; Metazoa; Chordata; Actinopteri; Istiophoriformes; Xiphiidae. The transcript is spliced from 5 exons. The record is from RefSeq and is a predicted model, not a curated record.